CCGCCCCUCCCCAGACUGCUGAGCUUCCCAGACACGUGGCCCAGAAGAGCAACUGAACUUGGGAACUCCUGAGGAUCGGUUGACCUGGUGUCCUGAAGCCUCCCCUGGUGACCCCAGGUGCACCCGCCACCCUCGGUGGUGGGAUUUUCCUUGGGAAGUCACAUCCGGCUGACUACCGGUCAGCCCCAGUGGCUGCCCAUGCCCGGCU
This 208-nucleotide long non-coding RNA is filed under the name Fukomys damarensis (Damara mole-rat). Its description in RNAcentral is "lncRNA (ENSFDAG00000025937.1)". The record is from RNAcentral. Lineage: Eukaryota; Metazoa; Chordata; Mammalia; Rodentia; Bathyergidae.